AAGUCGUAACAAGGUUUCCGUAGGUGAACCUGCGGAAGGAUCAUUAUUGAAUGAACUUGGCGUGGUUGUUGCUGGUCCUCUUGGGGGCAUGUGCACACCCGUCAUCUUUAUCUUUCCACCUGUGCACAUUUUGUAGGUCUAAAAUUUUUCCGAGGCAACUCGUUUAGAGGGAUUGCUGUGCAUCACUGUCGGCUUCCCUUGGAUUUUCAGGCCUAUGUUUUCACAUACACCAUAAAAUGUAAUAGAAUGUCAUAUUGGGCUUUGUUGCCUAUAAACUAUAUACAACUUUCAGCAACGGAU
RNAcentral lists this unclassified non-coding RNA (300 nucleotides) under Pholiota sp. RNAcentral's name for it is "partial contains small subunit ribosomal RNA and internal transcribed spacer 1". The stretch from base 1 to 46 matches the Rfam family "Eukaryotic small subunit ribosomal RNA", at positions 1786 to 1831 of the family's 1831-position model. Lineage: Eukaryota; Fungi; Basidiomycota; Agaricomycetes; Agaricales; Strophariaceae. The record is from RNAcentral.